This 469-nucleotide ribosomal RNA is filed under the name uncultured bacterium. RNAcentral describes it as "partial 16S ribosomal RNA". It matches the Rfam family "Bacterial small subunit ribosomal RNA", at positions 28 to 507 of the family's 1533-position model. The record is from RNAcentral.
GACGAACGCUGGCGGCGUGCUUAACACAUGCAAGUCGAACGGAAAGGCCCUGCUUGCAGGGUGCUCGAGUGGCGAACGGGUGAGUAACACGUGGGUGAUCUGCCCCUUACUUUGGGAUAAGCCUGGGAAACUGGGUCUAAUACUGGAUAGGACCAUGCUGUAGGUGGUGUGGUGGAAAGAUUAGUUUCGGUAAGGGAUGAGCUCGCGGCCUAUCAGCUUGUUGGUGGGGUAAUGGCCUACCAAGGCGUCGACGGGUAGCCGGCCUGAGAGGGUGGACGGCCCCAUUGGGACUGCGACACGGCGCAGACUCCUACGGGAGGCCGCAGUGGGGGAUAUUGCACAAUGGGCGCAAGCCUGAUGCAGCGACGCCGCGUGGGUGAUGACGGCCUUCGGGUUGUAAACUCCUUUCAGCCAUGACGAAGCCCUUGUGGUGACGGUAGUGGUAGAAGAAGCACCGGCUAACUACGUG